GCCUGGGUGGCUCAGUCGGUUAAGCUUCUGACUUCAGCUCAGGUCAUGAUCUCGCCUUCUGUGAGUUCAAGCCCCACGUCAGGCU
This 85-nucleotide transfer RNA is filed under the name Felis catus (domestic cat). It matches the Rfam family "tRNA". From Rfam's summary of the family: Transfer RNA (tRNA) molecules are approximately 80 nucleotides in length. Their secondary structure includes four short double-helical elements and three loops (D, anti-codon, and T loops). Further hydrogen bonds mediate the characteristic L-shaped molecular structure. tRNAs have two regions of fundamental functional importance: the anti-codon, which is responsible for specific mRNA codon recognition, and the 3' end, to which the tRNAs corresponding amino acid is attached (by aminoacyl-tRNA synthetases). tRNAs cope with the degeneracy of the genetic code in two manners: having more than one tRNA (with a specific anti-codon) for a particular amino acid; and 'wobble' base-pairing, i.e. permitting non-standard base-pairing at the 3rd anti-codon position. Lineage: Eukaryota; Metazoa; Chordata; Mammalia; Carnivora; Felidae. The record is from Rfam by way of RNAcentral.